GUCCCGCUCCUCUACAAGCAGGAAGCCAGAGGUUUGAAGGGAGGGCCAGUGAGUCUGGAGAGGACUAGGUUGAGAUCCCACUGAGGAACUGGGUCCCAAACCAGUGGAAAAAGUCUUUCAAGGCCUUUCAUGAACCUGAUCAUCAUCUCGUGCGAGAAUACCAAUCUACUCCUGGACAUGAGGGUGGAAGGCUGAUAUGGCCUUGAUCAAUGAACAUGCAAGGCCCUCGUGAAACAGGUAAUCUAAGCUUUAAGUGAAGAAGGUAAUCUAGGAUGGAUGGUAGAGACGACUGGAUCAGAGAGAUAUUCCGCUCCAAUGCCCAUCAGGAGAAGCGCUUCCACUUUGCCAGGUAUGUUGCCCUGGUAGAGGGCUUUCUGCUCUCCCAGAGGACCUGCUGCAACUGACUAGAGCAGGCUUGUUCCUCAGGGUUCAGACACUCAGCAACCACACUGUGAGGUAGAGAGAGGUGAGGUUCGGGUAUAGUAAUCGUCCGUGAUUCUGAGAGAGCAGGUCCAGGUGGCUGGGACGUGUCCACAGGGCUGCCACUGCUAAGUCCAUGAGCAUGCUGAAUCAAUGCUGGCGAGGUCAAACUGGGGCGAUCAUAAUGACUUGUCCCUCUUGAUCUUCAAGAGGACCUUGCCGAUCAGAGGGACUAGUGGGAAGGCAUACAUCAGGUCGCCUGACCACGACAGGAGGGAGGCAUUGGAUAGUGAGUCAUUGUCAAGGCCUUGCAGAGAGCAGAACUGGUGACAUUUUCUGUUUGGUGACCAACAAGUCCACUAGGGGAGUUCCCCACUUCUUGAAGAGCAUCCUGACUACCUCUGAGUGGAGGGACCACUCAUGGUGAGAAAAAAAGGAUCUGCUGAGGCGAUCCGCCAGCAUGUUCCUGAUGCCGGGGAGGUGUGAGGUUUCCAGGUGGAUAGCAUGUUGGAUACAGAAGUCACACAGCUGAUGGGCUUCCUGACAAAGGGCCAAUGAUUGAGCUCCUCCCUGUCUGCUGACAUAGAACUUGGAGGCUGUGUUGUCUGUCAACACCUGCACCACACAACUGGACAGAUGGGGAAGGAACACUUUGCAAGCCAGGCGGAUAGCCCUGAGCUCUCUGACGUUUAUGUGCAGUAACAGUUCCUCUUGAGACCAUAGCCCCUGAGUUUAAAAUUAGAGACACUGUGGGCCACAGAUUCACAAACAGCACACCUUCCAACACCAGAUUCAUGUUGGACCACCACUGCAGGGAGGUGAGUACCCGUGGCGGGAUCAUGAGAAGUUUGUCCAGGUGAUGUCUGGCCGGAGAGUAGACCGAUGCCAGCUACAUCUGGAGAGGUCGGAGGUGAAGUCUCACGUACUGGACAAUGUAAGUGUAUGCAAACACGUGCCCUAAUAGCCUAAGACAGUCUCGGGCUGUGGUGAGUGGGCAGUGACCUGGGUUAUCAGAUCUGACAUAGCCCUGAACCUUGCCUCUGGCAGGAACGCUCUGGCUCAGCUAGAGUCGAGUACUGCUCCGAUAAAUUCUGUCCUCUGCACCAGUACCAAUGUUGAUUUGUUUGUUUAUCAACAGGCCCAGUGCUUGACAGCUGGCUCGCAGCAUUGUGACAUGGCAUUGGACAUAGUCCCUGGAGCGAACCUUCAUGAGCCAGUUGUCAAGGAACGGGUAGAUCUAGAUACCCCUACGUCUGAGGAAAACUGAAAAACACAGAAAUUCUAUCAAAUGGAAACAUCAUGACCUUCAUUGAUCAUCGGCAGGAUUUGAACCUCCUAAGCUCCUCUACUGCUUGAACUAAAGGAGUAACAAGCUGCAGUACCAGGCCGCUAUCCUCUGUAUGCACAAACCAUUAGAGAGAGAGACCGCAGUGACUCGCACAAUUAUUUGCUAAACAGCAGAGGACUGUUGGGAUUCAGUCAGAAUUCCUAGCUUCUAUUUCAGACUGGAAAUAAGGCUUUAGCCCUGAAGCACUGACAGAGAAAAGAAAAAGAAGCAGAGGGUUCCACGCUUACCAAGCAACAAGGUGAAAGACUGGAGAAAAAGAGGAGGUGCUGGCUCUGACAUACCUUCCUGAGUGAGCAUCUCUGCUACCUCAUCACAUAAUUCAUAGUCUAAAAUAUGCCACAUAGAACAUAGGCCCUUCAUCAUAGCCACAUAAUACUAAGUCAUUAGAGUAUUCCUGAUUGAUUCCCGUCUUUCCACAUGGCAAAAAUCUAUUAGUGCUUUCUGCACAUUUGCGGCUGCCUCUAUUCAGCUAGCCAAAAAUAUUUGGAAAGGACAGAUCUGUUAGGACAGACUCUGUGAAGGGGAAAACACAGUCUGAAUAAGCCAACCUUCAAUCUGGACACAAUCCAGAACAUACACAUCCACUGCCUGCUGGAGAUCUAGAAAGGCUUAAAGUGACUUUAUGUCAAUUGAAUACACCCCUGUAAAUGACCAAUAAAGAUAUUAAUGGAUAAAAUAAAACUUAUUCUUUGGGAAUACUUGGUAGGCAGCCGCUAGAGCAGACUGUAAUCAUACAUUCGUGAGGUGCAUCUCUGUAGAUAUCCAGGAAUAAUGGUUUGCACAAGCAUUUGAGUGACUAAGAAAACAAAUAUCAUAGCUUGAAUUUUAAGAAGGGCUGGGUAACAUGACAAAUAUUAACAUUCAUAACCAUGCAAGUCAAGACAACUCUACUGCAUUUUUCAAGGAGAAAGAAAAGUUUCCUUCCCAUCCUAUUGAACUGGAAGGAACCUUGAAAGGUCAUUGAGUCCAGCUCCCUGCCUUCACUAGCAGGACCAAGUACUGAUCCCUAAGUGGCCCCAUCAAGGAUUGAACCCUGCGUUUAGCAGGCCAAUGCUCAAACCACUAAGCUAUCCCUAUCCCUCUCCCCCAUGAAGUAUUGGUUAUUUCAGUCAGAAGUGGCACCAAUCGCUAAUAACUCUCUUUCUCAAGCCAGGAAGGGCCUGGGUCGGAUUCCCAAGUCUUGAGUCAAGACUCCUUUAGGGUGCAUAGAGAGUAUGUCCAACCUCAAGUGUUCAAAAAUUGUGAAUCAGGCCCCCAAAUCAUGAGACUGUCUUAAAUAUUAGUUUUAAUAAUAAAUGUUGGGUUUUUUGCUUGCCUGCUGGUUUCUGAGCCUGUAGGGUACACCUGCUUCAUGUUUUCACACUUUUCUCUGCAACCAUGAGAGCUAGAAACUAACUUUUUUUUUCCAAAUGAAAGUUGUGAUUCUCUUUUGGUGUCUUGACUCUACCAGCUGGGUCUUCAAGAAAAACACCAUUUCAAGACCUGUGGUAAAAUCCCAGGAGCUGGCAACAAUGUGUAGAGUACAUUUUUCCCCCAAUGCUUUCUAGGGA
Long non-coding RNA from Trachemys scripta elegans, 3318 nucleotides. RefSeq lists it as uncharacterized. The record is from RefSeq and is a predicted model, not a curated record. Lineage: Eukaryota; Metazoa; Chordata; Testudines; Emydidae. The transcript has 3 exons.